GAUAUCAGUAGCUGAGAAAGCUUGUAACUUCCAAGAAGAGCCAUCCAUAAUAGUAAAAUAUAUCUAAAAGUUCAAUCAAUCUAUGCAUUUUAUACUUGAGAGAAAGAAUAAAAAAAAUUAGUAUGUUGAGGAAAAAGUACAGUGAUUUAAAAUUCAGAAACUGAAGUUUGUUUGACAAAGCUGUACAAAAUUAUUAAUCAACUACAAACAACCCCGGACCCCGACCCACAAGCAGGUCAAAAUCUGAUUAAAUAC
RNAcentral lists this unclassified non-coding RNA (255 nucleotides) under Hevea brasiliensis (rubber tree). The record is from RNAcentral. Lineage: Eukaryota; Viridiplantae; Streptophyta; Magnoliopsida; Malpighiales; Euphorbiaceae.